AUCGCUACAAAAAAAUUAAGGUAAAUUCACAGCCAACUUCAUGAAUAAUUCGUACAAAACAUAAAAGCUAAAAACUCAGAAAAGAGCAGCACAAAUCUAAAUAUAAAAUAAAUUGAUUAUGUACUAGAAUCAAUGAUCACAACAACAACAGUAAUACUACUCAACUCAUACAAACAAUAUAGAUCCAGCAAUCAAUACAUAUAAUCUCUACAUAGGGACAUGAAUAGAGAGAAAGAGAGAAUUAUACACUAAUGCUACUCAAAUCUCCACUCCUACUAAAGUUCCACACAGGUAAACGAGAAAAUCCAUGAGCUAAGCUCAGAUCCGAAGAGAAGAACCGAAGGCAAGAGCAGCAACAGCGCCAACAACCCCGGCGACGAAGGACGGCGAAACAGCAACGGCGGGAGACGUCGGACUCGGUGCCGGAGCGUCGGCGGCGGAGAUAACGGCGACGAGUACCGACAUUACGGCGAUGAACAUUGCUUUAGAGAAAGCCAUUGGAUUUAUCACAAAUUUUCUGAUUUCUGUGUUUAGGGUUUGGGUUGCGUUGGGCGCAGUGAGAGUUCGUUUUGAGGAGAGGCGAAAAUGGUGGUUUAUAUAGAAGGAGGGAGGAGAGGUACGGGCAGUUCGGGUAGUUGCCCGAAGUACAGACUGGCAAUAGGUCCAUUGCCAGCUGGAUCUGCUUCUAUUCUGAAAAAUCAGGUUUCACAUGACUAUUUCACCACGACGCCGUUUCGCUCGCCUGAGGUUCCUUGUCCCAGUGGCUCGUGCUCUCACUUUCACGCACAACAUCUACAACUACAAUGAUUAUUAUUUAUAAUAAAUUAUGCAUGUGAUAAAUACAUUUUCAGUUUAUAAAUUUUUAUACGAAACUAAAAUUCAUGUAUAAAAUUUUGGUCUCUAAAUAUAUAUAUAUAUAUAUAUAUAUAUAUAUAUAUAUAUAUAUAUAUAUAUAUAUAUAUAUAUAUAUAUAUUUAUAUAUAUAUAUUUAAUUUGACGUGUCACAUUUUUGUGUUAUCAUAUAAGUUAUUUAUAUUAUUUAAUAUAUUUUCGCUUUUAUAAUAAAUAAAAUUUUUGUUUUAUAUAUUAAAAAAAAUUAACUUAAUUAAUUAAAAAAAUUACAUUCAUUCAUUUUUAAAUUUUAAUACUAAAUUAUAUCAAAUUUUUAACACAAAUUUUAAUUUCAAAACUAAAAAUAUACUUAAUCUUACGAUUAACCUUUUACAAUAAUAUGUAAUAAAACAUAUUUACUUGACAUAUAUUUUGUUUUAUAAUUUUACAAUUUUAAAUUUUCAUAAUUUUAAAAGAUAAUUUGUAAUUUCAUAAUUUUAUAAUUUAAAAAAAUAUUCAUAUGUAAUAGAACACAUUUAUUGAUAAUUUCAUAACUAUACAAUUUUAUGAUUUUAAAAUUUCAUAAUUUUAAAUUUUACAAUUUUACAAUUUUAUGAUUUUUAAUUUCACAAUUUUAAAAAUUUUAAAAUUUUAUAGUAUAUUGUAACAUUCCUAUUUCUUAUAGGAUUCAUUAUACUUUAAUAAUAAAAAAUAGUUAACUUAAGAAAAGUAUAUAAAAUGUUAUUACAAAUAAUCCAAAAAUAAUUUAUAAUAGCAAAUAUAUAUUAAAACCUAGAACAUUAUAAGAUAAUAUAAUGAACCAUAAAUGUGAUAAGGUAAUUAUAUUAACGAACAAAACUUGAAACUAAAUAUUAUGUAUUACGUCUUAGAUCUAGCUCUUCUUAGCAUCUAUUUCGAAAGAUAUUUCCCUGAACUCACGUUACAUAGGUGAUUAUUGCAAAAAAAAAAAAAAAAAAAGAAGCAAAACAAACAGAGAAGAAAGGGUAAGGUAGUUUAUCAAAGAAUACAUAUAAACUUGUUAUACAAUGUCAUUCUUAUAAUUCAACUAUGAACAACCAAACAAUAUUCAUACACAUUUUAUCAUUAAUUCUAGAUUGACCAUCCAAAUACAUGUAUUGAUAUCGAACUAUAGUAGUCCUGCCUUUAAGGUGGUAUAACAACAUCAACAACAACAUCAUCAUCCCCAUCAAUCAAUCAUCACACUCCAAGGUUAAUCCUUUCAAGCAUCUAUGACUAACGAAUAACCAAUAGACUAGGGACCUCGUGCUACUUUUCACCACAUAAUCAUCUUUGUCUUCUUGAGACUGGAGGUUAUUGAGAGCGUCAAAAUGACCUCUAAUUCUAGCUUCCUAUAUCAAUACAUACACAUACACUUACACACUUAACCAUUUCAAAGGAAUUUUCCUUGAACUCCUUAUAACCAUCAUUUACAUGCCAUCACUCUUUUCCAUCAUGUUACAUCAAAUAAACAUUUCACGAAAUAAAUCCAAAAACAAAUGAGAAAUAAAAAGCAAUAACAACCAAACAAACUCAAACCACUCGUCUAGCCAACAGACACAACUCAUCCAGUCAACACAGACAACUCGUCCAAUGAGAGUCCAAACAGGGAGCCUCCCUAGCCCAGCGAGGAAGCUCGCCUAACCCUUACUUUACUACCAAAACCCCCAAAGACUCUCCCAGAGAGCAGUCCCUACUCGUCUAACAAGAGCCAAAAUAGCAGGCUCCCCAAGCUUAGCGAGCUGGCUCGCUCAGCCUCUGGAACUCACUACCAGAACUUGUGACACUCGGGCAUUGACAAGGGCGGGGAGUGAUCGCCGGUGCAAGAGGCACAAACAAGGAGCGGCUCCUGGCAGGCUUCCAGUGGAAAGGGCACAAGAAUCAAACAUACACCGGAAUGAGACUAUACAGUUGAAGGAUAGCUUAAAGGAAUUAAUUUGGCUAUUCAUAUCAAAAAAUGCAUUUGCUUCUCGAUAGCCUAACCCGUAAGAACUCCAUGGUUAAACGUGAUUAGCCUGGAGUAAUUUAGAGAUAGGUGACCUUUUGGAAAGUUUUCCUGGAAAGUGUGCGAGUGAGAAUAAAGCACAUUGAAAAGCCUAACCCGUAAGAAAUCCAUGGUUAAACGUGAUUAGCCUGGAGUAAUUUAGAGAUAGGUGACCUUUUGGAAAGUUUUCCUGGAAAGUGUGCGAGUGAGGAUAAAGCACAUUGAAAAGCCUCAUGUUGAUGUGUGGGGGCAGUCAAUAUUCACUAUAAGUUGUCGGGGCGUUACAGAACUCAUAUAAACUCGUCCAGCAAGCUACUCGUGUUCGCCUAACCUCGCUGCAUAAUUCUAGAGCACCAAAACUGAAGAAUUAACACUCCUAAAUCUCUCAUAACCUUUUCUAACCAUUUUUACCGACUUCUAACACUUCCAUUUUGUACUUUAAGCUACAAAUAACUUGUCCAAACAUGUACGAUUCAACUAAAACUAAAACUAAACUCGUUUUGUAAUGAAAUUCUAACUUAAACUAACUAUAACUUCAACCUAUAGACCAUAACUCAAAUUUACUACUUCUAACUCGUAACUUAGUCAUUUAGGGGUAUGACCAAAUCACAAAAGACACAAUAACAUACCCCAUACACACCACUUGACUUAAGUCCACUUACUUUGAAAACUUACUACUUAGAACCUCUAAAAUGCACCAAAAUUCAGUUUAAAACACCACUUACUAUUUACUACAUACUUGUAGACCAAUUAUUUACUAAUUUACCACAUAACUAAGUCUCAAAUAAUCACACAACAAUUAUUAACUUACCAUAUCUUCUUGUAGACCAUUAUUUCUCAAACUCACCUAUCCGCACUUCCAUUUUUAGGCUAAAACUGACCUACAACCAAACUUAACCAUUCUUUUCCCAAAAUUCCCAUUAAAUAUCAUCACUAGCUUCUCAAACAUAGGAAUUCAACAUUGGGAUCAAUUCCAAACAUAUUCAUCACCUUCUAAAACAUUCAACCAGAUUCACACCACUAAAUUCAUUCAAUCAAACAUGCAUACUAUGACAUAACACACAAUUCAAGCAUCAAGGUUAACAUACAUUCAACUCACAUACUGUUAACUACCAAACUUUGUAGCUCAAUUAAAAGAAAUCACUAGCUUCAAUUACCUAUUUAGAAGACCAACCACUUUAGAGUCCUUAUUUUGUUCACAUAGCUUGAGAAGGUCUAUCUGUAUUUAUAAAAACAAAAACAAGAUCAUGAUAUAUCGUUAGUGUCACUGAUCAAUAACGAGUCUUAUAAAAGACUUGAACCUUAUAUACAACAGAAAAAAAAAGGACCAAAGAAAAUAGGUGGAAACUUAACUUACUCAAAUGGAGUAACUGAUCGGUCUGAAUUGUAAAGAUCGUCGUCAAAUCACUCCUACGGUCUCAGUUCUUCAAUCAGAUGAACAAAGAAGAAUAAUUUAUAGAAAAAAGUUAAAGAACUCUAGAAAAGUGAUUUCUAGAGAGAUUUUGUGUUAUAAAAUAAUAAAACUCAUUUAUAACAAAACUAUUUAUAUUAAAACUAUUUAUAUUAAAACCAUUUAAUAUUAAAAUAAUUAAGUCUCACUCCUUUUACAUCACUACUUCUAAAAUGUCAUUUUCUAGAAUAUUAAAUAUAUAAUUAUUAAAUUUUAUAAUUUUAUAUAAUUAACUUUAAAAACGAAAUUCAUUAAUUACGACCAACUCUUAAGAAAGAUUUCAUCCCCAUAUAUUUUUUAACAAAAUAUAUGACAAGACUUAAGUAUGGUGAACAAAAAGGAUAAUUAUCAUCUUAUGUCUAGAAAAUCUAUCGAUUGAAAAGUUAUAAAAUUUAUAAAUUCAAUAAUCAUAUAAAUUUAAUUGAAAUUCAAUUAAAAGUUGUGGGACUCAAAAUUUAAUUAAAUUAAUUUUAAAUAACAUAAUGUUUUAUAUUUAGUUAUAUCUUUUUUAUUUUUUGUUUGAAAAAUUCUUCAAAUUACUAUAAUAUUGCAAUAUUACUUUUGACUAACAAAAAAAAUGUCUAUUAUAUUUUGUAAUUAUUAGGUCAUAGGAAAACGUGCAGAGAGGCGCGUGAACGGAGAAAACCUAAAAAUUGAAUUUAAUGUUAUUAAUACCAUCUAAAUGAUAAGGUAACGUUGCUUCUAAAGUAAGCAAUUAAAAGCAUUUAUUCUUUUACUUAAUUGUUAGGAAAUUAUUAAUUUUAUUACAAAGGUAUUUAGAAUAACAAAUUAGUACGUGUGUAAUUAAAAUUAAUUAAGUUUGAAGUAUCAUUUUGGCUAUUUAUGUAUGAUUCUGAGGAUGGGAAAAAAUUAUAGACGCGUAAAUAAAUAAAAUGAUUUAGGUAAGUGAUGCUUAAAAAAACUAUCAUAAAUUAUGUAAAAGUUUAUAUUAUAUAUAUAAUUAUUUAUACUUAUCUAAGGAAUUUCUGUUUUUUCCAUAUUUACAAAAUAAAUAAAACUUACUUAUAAUAAAAUUAUAAAAAUUAUUUAUCUAACUUUAGAAUUAUAAUAAUAACAACAAUAAUAAUUUUAUUAUUUUUUAUUACUCGUUAUAUAAAACGGAUUUAUUCUUUUUGUAUAUAUAUUUUUUGUUUUUCAAUUUUAUCCUUAAUAAGUAAUUUUCUUUUAAAUUAAAAUAAUUAUCUUAUUAAUUAUGUUCUUUAAGGGAUUUUUCUAAAAUUUAAUAGUUUUUAUUUGACUUUUUUUAGUUUAACCAUUUUAUAAAAUUAAAAUAAAUACCUAUAAAAUACCUAUAAUAAUAAAAAAUACCUAUAAAAUAAAUAAUUUUUUAAUUACAAUAAUUAUUUAUACUUAUUUUUACAAUUAUAAUUUUAUUAUCCUUUUAUAUCAUACAAAAAUGUGAAGUAUAAAAAUAACUAUUUAUAAUAAAAAAUAUUACUUACAAAAUAAACAAAAAUUAUCAAUAACAAAAUUGAGAAAAUGAUUUAUACCUGUUUUUAUAAUUAUAAUUUUAUUUUAUUUUUAUCAUUAAAAAAAUGUCAAUACAUAUGUACAUAAAACAUAUAUUUUUACUAGUAUAUCAUAAAUGCUUUUAUUUGUUAAAUAGAGAAAAAAUAACAUAUUUAUUUUCCCAGAAUCCAUUGUGUAUCGUUUAUGUUGAAUUUUUUUUUUCUAUUUCCAUUGUGAUAAUAAUGAAUAAUUUAAGAGUAAUAUUGAUAAAUGAUAAUAAAUAAAACCAUUGAUAACAAAAUAGUUUUUAUAAUCUAAAUCAUUUUUCUUCACUUACAUUUUUCUUUAUUAAAAUGUCUAUUAAUGAUAUACAAAAUUUAUAUAUGUAGGAGUUAUGUUUGUAUCUUUUCAAUGUAUUAAUUAUUUGUAUUGCGAUAGAUAAUCUUAUGUAUACAUUAGGAGCUUAAAAUACAUAUUUUUAUUUAUGUUUUCUCGAGCAUUGUGAAGUAUUUAUGUGAUGAAGGUUCUUUAUGAUGUAUUAGAUGCAUAGAGUUUUUUCUCUGAAUAUUUUAAAAAUAAUAGUAAAAUAUUGAAUUAAGUUAUUUGUUUGAAACAUUGAAUUAAAAGUUAAUAAAAGUAACUGUGAUUUAGUUGUAUUAAUAAAAUGUGUGAUGGCUCUUAAGUCUUACACAAAUUAAUUCUUGAAAAAUAUAUAUGCUUAAUACAAGUUCUUUUAUAUUGAAUGUAAAGAAAAGUAUCUUAAUCAAAUAAUUAAAAGAGAUAUAUUUUAAAGAUUAAAUUACAUGAAAAUUUAAUUAAAACCCUAAUUAUCAAUACACUAGUUUUUGAAAAUCAAUUUAGAUAAUACAUUAAAAUUGGUAAUAUAUUAUUUAAUAAAAAUAGCAUACUUUUCUUUUUCUGCAAAAUUUUACUAACUCACGAAAACGAGCUUCCUAACUCUCAAGGAACAUUUUUCUUUAUUGUUAUUUUUUUAAAAUUAAAUUAAAAAAGAAAUUACUCGUUCAACUUGAACAAUCAUGCAAAAGUGUCUUUACCCAUUCAUUGCUAUUCAGAUUUUUAAACAAUGAAUACAAGAGAAUAAUGUCAUUCAACUUUAAAAAACGGUAGUUUGUGAUCAAAUCAAUUUCAACUCUUUUAUUUUUUUCCUUAGGAGAAGUUAAUUCCAACAUUCUUACAUCCAAAAACAUUUAACAUAAAUAAUUUAGAUCUUAUUAUAUCAUUAAAAAAGCCAACUGAAAUAAAUUUAAAGUAGGAAGGGGUAUGUCAAACCUUUUUCCUCUCAUCAUAAAUUAAACAAUUUAAUAUAUUCAUACAAAAAACUUAAUUUAAAAAAAAAAAUUACCCAUAACUUCUACUUUAUUGAUAAAAUUCUUAAUAUGAACUUCAUCUGUGAAGUAACAUUUAGGCCAAAAAAAGAUUAGGCCAGCCACAAAACCUUAGUUUAAGAAUAAACUACAAGCUCCUUAGUAAUAAAAAAGAAAGUCAGAUGCAAAACUGGGAUUCCAAUAAAUUUGAAGUCUCUUGGCCAAAGAGAGAAAUGAAAGAAAAAGUAGAUGGGAUGAUGCAAGUUACUUUUAACUCCACAAGCAUAAGUAUCUACACCAAUGUUCUAAGCUUGACCUCCAUCCAAAUCAGGUUCCUCAUCCAUGUCCUGCUUCCUAAUUUCGUAUGAAAAGUCUUCAUCAAGAUUCUCCAUAGUUCUUCCAAAAAUAAAUGACUUCGUUCCCAUUGUUGUAAAGGGCAUCAAGCCAAAUGCUCGAGCAGUUUUUAUCUCCCUGGCAACCUUUCUUUGAGCCUUUGCACUGAUGCCGGUCUAUUCAAUGAUCAUGAAGAAACAGUGUUAAGAUCUCAUAGUAUAUAUUUUAUGAAUUCUUCAUAAAUACUUACAGAAGAAAAGAUGAGAACCUUUUAUACACAAGUUAAAAAAUUAGGUUUCGGAAAAACUAACAUGAAAUAACUUGUAUAAAUUGACUUACACAUUAACUAAUUUUAACUUUUGGAAAAAAAUAUUUUUCCUUCAUAAUAAUCCUUCAUCAUUCUUACAACAUUACUGUCAAUUUUAGAACUUACCUUGCUUCGCUUGAUUAUAAUUCCUGCCUCUGUUAUGAAAUUUGCCAGGAAUCUUACAUUCUGCAUCAAAACAUAAAUACUACUAAGCCAUUUAAAAAAUAGCAAUAAUAUUUAAUAGGAAGAUAAUUUGUCAUAAAGGGAAAUAUGUUACCAUAGUUUCACUAACAAGAAUGAAGGAAAAGAUACCAUGGCUAAACAGAGUCGCAACAUAUAUUUACCUUGCCUUCACUCAAUCUAAAACUGACUAACCAUAAAUCGAUUAAAACUUUAGAAUAACAGUAAGCUAGCAAAAAUUUUAGGCUUGAAUUGUAAGUGAAAACUUUACAAGAAAUUUUCAUACAACUUUAUCAAAGUGGUUCUAAGAAUGCAGACAAUUUAGAGCCAUGGAUCAAAGCAAACUGGAAGGAUAACUUUCUGCUUGUUCAUAUGAAUCUGUAAUCUAUAUCGGUCAUCUUUUAUUUUCAUAGUUAACAUAAAGACAUCUAAUUUAACAUUAAGACACAUGGGAAAGGUCAUGAUGGUAUGGGUUAAUAUAUGGUGAGUAAUGUCCACAAACAACCUGACAAUCUACAUAAGAUAGUUUUGACAACAAAAAUGUUUUUAUUCAUUUCCAGUUUUUCUUUCACCAAGACAAUGCAACAAAGCAACACACGGAUUAACAAAACAUUUAAUGAGAUGUGAAAGUUUUUCUUACCAUGAGAACAUGCAAGUCGUGAAGUUAGUUUUACUUUAUCACAAUAGUAAUAUACAAAAACAGAAUAUUUAUGGAAGUGAUAGUUUUCACUGCAGCAUAGCAAUCAGAAGUAUAUGGUAGAUGCAUUACUAUAAAGGAAUUACUCUAACACAAGUGCUAACCCUGAAAUCUGCUUGACUGAGAACUUCUUUGGUGGUUACACGGAAUUCAUCCCUCAUGGGAGGCUUGCGUACACCAGGUUUGGUAAGAUCCAGAUCCUGUAUGAAGAAAGAUACUGCACAAAUUAAAAAACUAAUAUGUACACAUAAUACAAAAUAAACAUUAACAGAGUAAAGGUUGAGAUAUCAUGCAGUGAAUGGGAUAUUGUAGCCAUGGUUGUUUAUAGCAGACAAAAUAAGAUUGGUGAUAGGAUCAAAAGCAUUUAACAUUAUUGGUUAAUCAUACAUACCAUUGAAUAUCAACAAUCAGAUGUGUACAUGUUAAUUCAUCUAAUCUAAAACCCUUCAAUGCAAUAGACUGAAAUUAUAUGUCAAAUUAAAAAGAAUAAACAAGAGACGGACAUACAGAUAAAGAGUAUCAGUAAUUCUGUCAAAUGACAUUCUAAAAAGCCACUGCAACACAUUUUCUUUAAUGAGGAGCAUCAAUUAAAAGGGUUAGAUUUGAGGGUUAUAAUAUUUGUGGAUCAUGAAAGAUGAGAACACCCAUUCAAAAUUUCCCAAAUGCGUAUUCUUGCAAAAAAGAUGUAUUGUCUCCAUGUUUAAUUGAUACAGUCAAUAAUGAUACCUACAACACACAAGAUAUCAAGAAAUUCAAAACUUCUUUCAUUACUAUCUAACCAUACUCACAUGUCUUUAUCUCACCCACCCGAAUGAUCUCAGCUAAUGGAUUGCUAAUCCCAACCCUUCCCAACAUUUUCUAACACCCAUACACUGAUGAUUACUGAUCACACACGGCCUAGACCAUUACAACUCUUUUCCCACCCAGUCAUAGUUUGCAAAUGUUCCUUUUGUAUACCCUCAAUUCUGCUACUCAACCAACCAAGACCCAUUGUUCUUAUCAUAUUUAUAGUAAUAAGGAGCAUAUCCUAUAUAAUCAAGAUCAUACCUCUAUAAUUAGGAACGUUUUGUUUAUUCUUGUACUAUACCUUUAUUAUUUGAGGAUACCAUAUCUCAAUUUAUUUUAUAGAUUCAUUUCUCUCAAUACAAAUAAAGUAUCCACACUGUCUCAGAAAAAUACAGUUUCAGCAUAAUACCACCCUUUUUACUAGAGCUCAACAAUUCUUUUUCUUUUAAAAUAACUUGUGAAUAUCUCUUUAAUGUUGUUUUUUUUAGACAUAUAUACUAUAAAUUAUGAUUAUUUUCACCCUUUUUACUAGAGCUCAACAAUUCUUUUUCUUUUAAAAUAACUUGUGAAUAUCUCUUUAAUGUUGUUUUUUUUUUAGACAUAUAUACUAUAAAUUAUGAUUAUUUUCACCCUUUUUACUAGAGCUCAACAAUUCUUUUUCUUUUAAAAUAACUUGUGAAUAUCUCUAUAAUGUUGUUUUUUUUAGACAUAUAUACUAUAAAUUAUGAUUAUUUUCAUUAAAGAUCUAUAAUCUAAACUUAAUGCCCAUCCUGCUAUUCCAUUAUAUAGCAUUAUUGGAGCCUGUCACUUUGUGCUGCUAUGAGUAUAGAAAAAAUACCCUGCGAGACACUCUUCACCAUAUUUCAUUUGGUACCUCUGACCAAACAUGUGUAUAAUUUAUCACUACAUCAAUCAUCAAUUUCGACAAAACAUUUAAUGCCCUCAUGCAUAUGACAGAACCAAGCACAAACAAACAUCUAAAAUUAAAGAUAAAUAUAAAACAAUGAUGGCCAAGGAAAAUAGACAUCGUUAUUCAACUUACCUUUAUAUCAUAUGUUGAACCAGGUAUGAAAUCGGUAUCGUAUCGAAAAGCAUAAUCUUCUUUCUCAAUUUCAUCCUCAUCAACUUCAAAGCAUGUGGCAGCAUUCUUCAGGUUUUCAUCCAUUCCAUCAGAUAACGAGUCAUCAUUUUCUUCUAGAUAAUCCAUCAUAUGAAAACCAGCACCAUUUCCAAAACCAGAUCUAUGUCGAGCCCUUCCCUGUUGGCUAAUCUUUUCAAGAAUGGAAUCAAAUUGGGGAAAUCUACCACGAUUUUCUCCAAACAUCCCAAACUCCUCAGGAGGUUCUGACUUGUUAGCCUGCUGAUCACUGGUUUGAUUAUCUGCUCAAAGAUUGGGCAGGAAGAUCAUAAGGAAUAAUUUUAAUUUCACAGUACGGUAAAAAAGAAUUUUAAACAACCUUAUACUAUUUUUGUAAAUUGUGAUUCUAGCACAGACCAUCAUACUGUUGAAAUUAUAUUUACAUGAGUUGGGUAUAGUAAUAAAUGUUAAAAAAGUCCCAAUUAUAUGUUACAUGCAAUGUGCAGAAAUCCAUUACGCCUGUGACACAGAACACCUGAAACUCUCAUCUGAUUAAAGCUUAAAUCCAUACAGGUUUACUAUAUAAAGUUUUUCUUUCCUUCUUAUAACAAAGAUUAUGCUAACCAUUCCUGUUUGAAUAUUCAACAGAAAUAUUUACUUCCUUUUUGGCCUACUACAUACAUUGAAAAAUAAAAACUCAGAAGUGUAGUUAACUCUUCUCAGUACUGAAAAAAAUAUACAAAUACCUAAGAACAUGAAGAGAAACAAUUACAGGACCCUACUUAACACGGAAACAGACAGAAGAUGACAGAUGAUGGUGACUAAUCAACUUUAAAAAACAGAAAAAAAUGCUGCACAGUUUAAAGAGUGACAAGAAGCAUAAAAAGAAUAGCAUAGAUUUUUCUUAGGCUUGUAUUUUGCCUAUUCUAGUUUCUAGUUUCUUUCUCUUAGUUUGGUUGUAAAGAAGUUCUUAGGCUUGUAUCUAUGAUCAUAUCACAAAGAAUACAUUUUUUCACAACAUACUUGGAGAAUCUUCAACUAUAGGCAGUUCAUUCUAUAUUUACCACAGCCUUGGUGACUCAGACUGGUAAUUCCCUAUUUUGCUUUUCUCAAUAUUUGGUUAUUGAAUCCUUGGGUUGGAAUUUCAUGCUUUUGAUCGUAUUGUUGAUAAGUUGGUAACUUCUUUUAUCAUCCCAAAUUCAUCUCUCACAAAAAUUGCUUAACACCCUUGCAAACAGCCUAGAGAUUAAAGCUACAGGCAUUGGUCAAGAACCCUCUUCCAUUCAUACCUUUGGAUUUAGUUCUUCUCUUUCUUGAUUGUCUAUUAAAUCUAGCUUCAGUGAACCAACUGACCGUUUCCUUAACUGUUCACCAACCUUUUUCUCUAAUUCCUUCAACAUUUAUGGAAAGAUUAUUGGUGCAUGUUUUUAUUCAUUCAUGCUGACUAAUCUCCUUCUGUUGUUAGUACUGGCACUGAAUACAAAUCUCCACAUUAUCUGAGCCUAAAUAAGUACUAAAGAAGGAUUCUCAAUCUCUCCCAUUUGUAGUCUUUUGAAAUGUGAAUCAUGUCAGCUAAAUAAUCACAAUAGUAAGUCUAAAUUUCAACUCAGAAAUGUUUAUUCAGAUGUUAGGGACCAUCACAAGUUAGCUCAAUCAUGUGUCAUAUCAUAAUGAGUUAGUUUAGCAAAAUCAGCUUGCAUGUGACAAUUGGCUGUGACUGUUCUCAACUGUUUCUGUUCUUUGUAGAGCAAGCUAUCUGUAGUUGUAUAAUCUUUGUUGUGACAGAAUUCUAAAUGUGAUGAGAAAUAAAAUUUCAAUUUUUAACAGUGGUAAGAGGCAGGCUGGCAAGUCUAGACCUUUUGGUUCACAAACCAACUUUCAAUCAUAGAGGAGUAAAGUAUAAAACAUUCAAAAACUCAAACUUCACGAAAACCAAACACAUAUAACGAAAUCAUCAAAAUCAAUUACCAAAAUAUCAGCAACAAGGCUGACCACUGCUUACAAAGGAGACAGUUCACAGACCAAGUACCUGUAAAUCCCCAAGUGGAAAGGCUUCUGAACAUAUGAGUCUGAUAAAACUGAUGGGACAAAUUGACACUUAGUGACCUAACUGCAACUGAAACAAUCUUCAUUUUGUUCCUGCUUCAAUAAAACAAUUGCUUAAACCCGUAAAUUUAUGAGCUCUACACUAGACUGCACGGUAGCUAAAAAUAUAACACCACACAAAUCAAAGAGAGAAAUUAUCUCACUUAUGUUAACCUGAAAUCUAAAUGUUAAACUAAACCAUAAGAGAUGUCUCAAAUAUUUCCCUAUCCAAAGAAAUUAUAUCACAAAAUUUCAAAUGAAAACAAUAGCUUUCAGUUAUAUACCUUCAUAAUACACAUACAGAACAUAUAUACGGAUACGUUUAAGAUAACACCUCUCACACUCCAAAAUUUAGCAAGAGUAUAUAGGGAUACUGGCAAUUUAUUUUGAAAGUCAGCAUUCAGAAGAUGACAGUGCAAUAAACUUAAAUAAAUGAUAUUAUCCACAACAACAUUAAGUUUUAUAAGCAUGGUUAUCAAACUAAUCGAUUUUAGUGUAAAUUCGGUAGAAUCGGGUAGCAUCGGUGAACUCGGCCAAACUCGCGAUUUUGCAACCGGUGGCGAGUUCCAAGAGAGGAUUUUUUAAAACUCAAAACGACAGUGGUUUGGUGUGCAAGAGUGAAGAAAACUCACUGAUUAGAGGAUUAGGGUUUCACUCUUCUUCUUCUACUGCCCCACAGUGGUUAGUUCCUCUUUCUGAACCGCUCGCGGUUGAGUCACAGACCGUCGUGCGUCGCGCGCCCUCGCCGCCGUCGUCUGCGGCAGAUUGGGAGGAGAAAAGGAGACCACUGCUCCCUGCACCCUUUCGUUUCGUGUAAGUGGAGAGUGGGUGUGUGAAAUCUUAAAUAUGACAAGAAAUGAGGUAUGCUGAAAAAGCAAUGGAGGGCUUACCUUGCCAGAAAAAUGAGAAGUUUUCGGUCUCCAAAUUUAAGGGUUCCGAGUAAUGGAAACUGAAUGUUUAUUGUUUGAAGAAGAUGGUGGCGCGGCGGCAAGACACCCCUACGACGUCGCCUUAUAGUGGUGGCUAGAGCAAGGGAUUCCCUCUGUCUGUCUGUUACAGGUAGAGCGGCGUCGUUUUGCUUUAGUCUCAUGAAAAAAUAAAUCUUUAUUGGCCCGGGUCACUGAAAUUCGCCGGGUCAAGUCCGAUUGGUUCGGGUCAUAAUGUUGCAAACACUUCCCAGCCCGUUUUCGUCAUUAACAUUAAGUGUCACUACGUUUUACGUUUCAAGUUUGGAGAUUGUGCCACCUCCAAGCUUUCAUUUUAUAUAUCCAAUUUUUUUCUUAAAGUCUAAAACAUCCUUUAGAUAAGAAUAAAUAUAUCUUUUCUUCUAUAAUUACUCAACUCACUUAUAUCCAUUUUUUCUAAUAUGUAUCUCUUUUUACUUCAAAUUUUAAUUUAAAAAUUUAAGGAAUUUUGAAAUAUAAAUUCACUUGAAGAGAUUUGGUGGAGAGUAAUAGCAUGAAUUUGAAAAGAUUUGAAUAUAAUUUUUUUUUAUUUGAGUGGAUUUGGAGAUAAGUGAAAGUGAGUUUAGAAGUAAAGUUUAUAAAAAUUAGUGUAUAAUUUAAUUUAUGUGACAGAUUAAAAAAAUUUAUUUUCAAAUUCACUUUUACUUAUCUGUAAAUCCACUCAAAUAAACAACAACAGAAAUUAUAUUCAAAUCCGCUCAAUUUCACUCCUUGAAAUUUCUUCAAGUGAACAAAGUACGUUUUGCAUUUCGAAUUUUCCGUACUCUUCGAUUUUUUUUUUGUUUAAAUCAUUUUUUGGUCCUUAAGUUAAGUGUUGAUGUUUAGUUUAGUCCCCGUUUUCAAAAGUGUAAACCUUUGGUCUCUAUGUUAUCAAAUUUGUUUAAUUUUAGUCAUAUUCGUCUAACGGUGUUAAAAUUGUUAACGGUAAAAUUACUGUGAAACUGAUCUGUAAAAAAAAUGUUGACGUGGCAUUUAGUUGACAUAAAAUCAAUUUACGUGGAAGUCAAAUUUGGGUUACGUGUAUGUAAUUUGGGAAAAAGAAUCGUGUUGUGAUAGCCUUCGUCACUUUGGUGAAGUUAAUUCCAGCACUCGCAACAUCUAAUUUGUACCUAUCCAUGACAGUGAGAAGUUGUUUCCUGACAUCCUGGACUCUUCUCAACGAUCGAGAUUGAACAAAGUUCUCAAAACACCACGGCCCUGAAAAGUUCUUAGCUUUCCAAACCUCAUAAACAGUAAGUAGAGUACGAUGGUCACCUCUGGCUGGAAAAACUUUGCCCUCUUCUGAUAUGCUCGACCUUGCUUUUCCCUUGGCCUGUAAAAAAUGUUUCCGGUUUGAAUCAUGGCAAUUAUGGUCAAAAUCUCAUCACUGCAUCCAAGAUCCACACUGGCAAGCAUAAUCUUGGACAACGGUGGAUCCAAAGGAAAUUCUGCCAUUUUCCUCCCCAGUUUGGUUAACAAGCCCUCUUCAUCCAAUUCUCCAAGACUGUAAAGCUGCUCCAUAACAGAAACAUACGCCUGAGGUGAAAACAAAUCCAUAAAAUCAAAGGACAAUAGAUCGUUUAUCCCCAUAGAAACCUAUCCAAAAUCAUUGCGCCACCACCUGCAGAGGAAAAUAGAGAAAACUCAAUCCCAAAAUCAGAAUCGAAAAGAAGAACAGAAAACCCUCAAAUCUUAAAAUGGAACCCUAAAUCGCGAGACGCGCCAACAACGAGCACAAACCCUUGUACUACGAAGUCGCCAAAGUUGAAGCCUUGAGGUGAUGCCACUGUUGCCACCCCCACGAAUGGGAUCGUCACGCUGCAAAGACGAAGUUGCGUCAGCCUCCCUUCCUUACGUGAAACGAACUUGAACCGAGAAGAAAGAAGAAGAGGAAGAAUGGCUAACGCGUCGCCACGAGCCACCUGGAAAUUACGAAGACGCCAUCAGAGUCGCGCCCUGUCCACGUCAUCGUCGUCACCUCCAAAUGUCCCACCAGCAUGAAAUGCAGAAAAAAGAAAAAGAAGAAAGCCUCCAUAUUUGCGAAAUCACAAAGACAGUCCAAGAUUGAGUUUUUCUGCGAGAAGAACAAGAAGUCACGCUUGGAAAAAGUUUCAGAUAUUAUAUUAAAUGCCACAUCAAUUUUUUUUUUUUACAGAUGAACUCCACAGUAAUUUUAUCGUUAACAAUUUUAACAUCGUUAGACAGAUAGGACUGAAGUCAAACAAAUUUGAUAAUAUAGGGACUAAAAGUUUAUACUUUGAAAAGCGGGAACUAAACUGAAUAUCAACACUUAACUUAGGAAAAAAAGGAUUUAAAUCUUUUUUUUUUCUUUUGUCCGUUUCAUACAAAUUUUAGAUUGGAUUAUAAUGGGUUUUAAUGUUUUUUACUUAUCUUUUCUUAGGGGGUUGAUCCCUGUACCUCCACAUUUUUGGCUUUUUACCUCCCCAUUUUUUUCUUAAAUUUUUGUUAUAUUACAAAUAUAACCUUUUUUGUACUCUCUAAUUUACGUUUUUAACCCUCUCUUAUUUACCUAACCCUAGAUUUACUUUCCCAUUUGACUUCCUCCCUCACGUAACACAAAACCCCACUCCCAUUUUCUAUUUCACUAAGGCUAACACAGCACCCCCACCCAUUUCCCUUUACUCGUUUUCAUUUUUUUUAAACUCUGACUCCCAACUCCAGUCCUCUGUUCAUCUGUGCAUUUCGUGGUGGUGCGGCCUGGGUGUGCAGUGGUGCGACGAGUUUUUGCGGCGGUGCGGCGACGGUGGUGCUUCGUUUCUGCCGGUUGGUCUUCGAGAGGUUAGUUUUUCGUCUCUUCUUCCGAUUGAUAGAGAAAUUUUGUUCGUUUCGGUUUCUUCUUGGCGCAUAUAUGUUGUUGUUUCUACCAGAGCUUAUUUUUUCGUUUCGUUUCUUGAGUGUUGUCAUUUCUGUUUGUUUUUUUUAAUAUAUGUAAUACAAAGUGUUGCGUGUUCUGUUUUUCUGUGUGUGCAUGUUCUGUUUUUCUCUGUGUUUCAGUGGUAGGAGGAAGAAGACACUAGGCAUCUGAAACGGAUGUGGAUAUCCGUCAACGGAUAUCGACCUCCGUUCAGGCCAACGAUACUCACAGUAAAAGAAAAGAGAGCACAGAAGGAUUGGAAGAAACAACUAUGAAACCGAACGAGAGAGCAGAAGGUGAGAAAAUAAAAAUUAGGUUUUUUAAGUGAAAUUAAAAUUAACAUAUAAAAUAAAUUUUACUUAAGGGUAUAAUAGAAAUAUAGAUAAAAAAUAAAAAUAUAAAUAAUAAAAGAAGGGAUAAAAGUGGGAUAAGGAGGUGGAGGUUAAAAAUGUAAAGAUACAGGGAUCAACGCCCCUUUUCUUAUCUUCGACUAUUGGGCUUGUAUUGGACCUCAAUUUAAAAUUCAACAAUUUUUUUUUCUCUUUCAAGUAGAGCAUAAUAUAUAAUAUAAUUAAUAAAGAAGUAAUAAUAUUAGAGAAAUAUAAAAUAUUUAAAAAAUAAUAUAUUAUAUGAUCAAUUAAUAAUAAUAUUCCAAUGAAAAUUAUAAAAAAAAUAUUUAUGGCAUCAUACAAUAUAUUUAGUUGUUAUGCUAUUUAUUUAUGUUUUGAUACAUGUAAAUUAUUGACUUUGACAAUGAAAUGUGAGUAAAAUUCGGAAGUGUAUUUUAUAUGAAUGGAAAAAUGAAUUAAUGUGAAGCGAUGUUUCUUUCUUUUCUUUCCAUAUUUUUCAUUCGAAAAUAAAACUUUAAAAAAAUUUAAAAUUAUUACAAAAUCUAAUACGUAUUCAUCUAUGUGUUUUAAGGUUCCAUUAUUGAACAUGAAGUUUUUAAAGAAUUAUAAGAUGAAAAAUUUUGAUGGAGAAAAUGACAAUAUUUACUUUAUAGUGUUUGAAUUUUUAAAUUAGUUUACUCAAUCAUUAACUUGAUAACUUAAAAGACAUCUCGUUACGUGAAUGAACGACAUUAAAAAAAACAUUGAAUAUUAAAAUUAAGAAAAAAAAAUAGACCAAAAGAAAAAUAUAAACAUUUACCAGAAAAUAAAAUUAAAAAAAAAAAUCUAUACUUCGUAUAAUAUUUUGUAUGUGUCAAUUAACGAAUAAUUUAUCAUUUAACAAGCAUUACAAAAAUUAAAACCGAUCAGAAGAAAAAAAAAAAAAUAAAGGGUUAAACAUGUUUUUAGUCCCUUGGGGCGAUUUCGGUUUUAGUCUUUUUUUCAAAUUAAGGUACAAUUAAUCUUUCAAUUUUAUAAAACUCUGAUUUUAGUCUUUUUUUAACAAAUGUUUUUAACUUUAUUUACUAUUUCAAACACAAAAAUAAAACACCAUAAUAAAAAUUACAAAUUUAUAUUAAAAAAAUUAUUUAAGUCAACUUAUUUUGUACACACAUACAUGUAUUUAUAAUUUUACCUAUGGCACACGCAAUUGUCAGCUUGUCACUGUCGAAAAAUGUCCAUUUUGAGUUAGGACAACCCUAUGUUGAUAUUUAGCUUAGUUUGUCAAUAUUUGUGCCAAACUUAACUCUUUAACACAAAAUUAAUUAAUGAAUGAAAGCUACGCAUAAGCAUACUUUUUCUUUAUUUUUUUUUAUGAAAAUUGAAUAUUUGGUGUAUUUUUUUAAUUUUUACAAAAUAAAAGGAUAAAAAAUUAAUAAAUGAAAUAUGGAAUGAGCAUAAUAUAUUAUAUUUUGUUAUAGAUAUGUGUGUUUUACAUGCAUAACAUUGUGAUAUUUGACCAAAACCAAAAACGAAAUACUAUUUUUCUCUUAAUAUGAAGUAUGAAAUGCUUGAUCCAAAUGGUAAGGCGAAACUCUUAUGUCCAUGAAUUACAAAUAUGAAAUAUUGUUUUUUGGUUUAAAAAAGUAUGUAUUAACAAUUCAAAGUAGGUGCAGAGAUAAGGUGAAUUUAAGGAAUAAUGGAUCGCAUUUACAUCAAAGUUUUAAUCUUAAACUUUUAAGCAAUCAAAAAUAAACUUUAUUAAAAGCAAUUUAUUAUAUAUUUUAUGAUUUUAAUAUAAUUAAUAAUCAUAAAAUUGAUCUAACAAAUGUUCAAAUUAGUAUAAAUUUUAACAUCUCAUUAAAUAAUAUAAAACAGUUAAAUAAAACAUUACAAAUUUGUAAUACACAAAUUAAUAUAAAUUAGGAAACAUAUAUAAUAUUAAUAGAGAUAUUUAUCUUAAUAACUAUAAAAAAAUAAUAUACGUAGACACCAAACCAAAAUUACAAGAGUAUUUUUUUGAGUAAAAAAAAAACUCUUAUACUACCAAUUAGAUAAAACUAUACAAUUAUUUUAUUGCAUUAUCAUUUUCCAUCAAAGGUAUAUUUUUUUUUUCACGUUAGAAAGUAAUCAUUGUAAAAGAAAAAAAAAAAAUACAAUGUAAGUUAAGUUAGUAUGCGAACGAAACAUCACAAAAUAAUUAAAUCAUAUUAAAUAUCAACAAACAUAAACAAUUGAAAUUAUACUCAAUUUUGACAAGACUUCACUACAUAGAAAUUAUCACCCCUACUACUCACAAGGUUAGUCUCCUUUGCACCUAAGACUAAAAUGUCCAAGUGCUAGAACCUGCUGCCAUUCACUUCCCCACAUCAGUUGAAUGGUUAAUAUAUACCAGGAUAUCUCCUUUUUGAACUCCUAUAUGUCAAAACAUACACUAAACAUCACCACCACACAUAUCACACAUAUCCCUAACAAAAUCCUAAUUCACACACACACUUACCGUAUUCACAAGCAUGCUUAAAGAUUAUAUGAAGAUUAUAUAAAGAUUAUAUAAAUCAUUACCAAACAACCAAAAAGGAAAAAAAAAUUAAACAUACAUAUUGAUGCUCAAGGGUGAUGCCCAAUGCUAAACUUCUAACAAAAGGCACACCUCAACGUCAUUCUUCUCGCAAAAAUUCACGUUCAAAUACCAAUCUCUAUCGCUCGGUAACUUGAAAUUAAAUUGCUUCAGACCUGUAGCCAAAGAUGAAGUUCAACGCCCAACUAGUACCGCGCAACGUUACAACAAACUUAAAUUUUUGAUUUAAGUAAACUUGAACCCGAUCAAUUGCUCAAACUAAUAUUCAUUUUUUAUAUAGUUGAUCUAACACGGCUUUUAUACAUUCAAACUUAUACCAAUUUUCUGAAUUGUUCGUUUUUCAGUUCUUUCAAAGUUCAAAUAACAAGCAAACUCAAUUCAAUUCUUAAACCGCAUAAUUCAAUUCAAGCAUAAACACAAUCAAAUUAAACCAACAUACCGACAACGUCAUAUUUAUCAACUCACCCGUAAUAAAUCAACUAGUUUUCCUACUUGAAGGACAAAGCAAACAAUUUAAUGACCCUCAUAACACCCUCAAAUGCACAAAAAGCUCAAACUACCCAUAUGAAGAAUACAAAUAUAAUCCGGACACAUCAUUAAGACCGUUAAUCAACAAAGACUAGCAAAAAGAACAUAAUAUAAACACUACAUCUGAGCCAAAAAGGGCUACGAAUAGAAGAAGAACAAACAAAUCGAGAAAAAGACAGACAACCAACUCAUCUUAUUAAAAAAACUCACCAACUGAUCUUGAUGAAUUCACCACAAAAAAAAAUCCUACGAAUCUUUGAUAUUCAAAAAAUCAAUCAUAAAAUUUUUUAGAAAAAAUAGAAAGUGAACUUUGAAAAAAAAUUAUAGAAAAAAUGUGUAUUUUUAAAUAAUAAAACUCAUUUAUAAAUACUAUAUUUAGAUUUUAAAUUUUUAUUAUUAAAAUAAUUGACUUUUACCCUUCUAAACAUAUUAUCAAUUUUAAAAUAUUAUUUUCUAAUAUGUUAUAUAAGCAAAUAUUUAACCAAAAAUAGUUUGAAUUUAAUAUAAAUAGGCUGAUAAUGUAAAAAUAUUUAUACAAUUAUAAAGUCACAAAAUUCCCAAUGUGAUUAUGAAAAUUUUGUUGACUUUCAUAUGAAAUUUUUACCAAUAAAUAAACGACUUUGAAUCUAAUUAAGAUAGAUUGAUAAUAAAAAAAAGUAUUUAUUGUCAUGUAACUACAAUUUAUUAAAUGAUUUUUUUUUUUCAUAACAAAGAUAGUAAAAUAUACCAAACAUAAUUUUCAACAAGUUGAAUUAGAAAUAUAAAAAAAAAAGAACUUUGCAUUAAUAGCUUUGAAAAUUAAAUUCAAUUAAUUGUAUUCUCCUACCUCUAAACGAGGCAAAACGACUAGGGAAGUUACAAAAGUAGACGUACAAGUACAAUCAUCUUUAAUUCAAGAAAGUAAGCAAAUUCUUUCAAAAUUAAAUUACUUCAUAUAUAAAUCAUGGGUAUUUUUUAAUCAAAUAUUGCAAAAAAUCUUAUUAUUUAAAAGAAAAUACGUAAAAAAUAGUUUCAAAAAAUUAUGUGUUUUUAUAUUAGUGUAGAAAUAUUGCGUAAACAAUUUGACUAAUUUUUUAUGAGAGCCUGAAAGUAAAAUUCUCUAAAAAUGCCCUAAAUGCUUUAUUAAAGCUCUGUUCUAUGAAAACUCUGUUCCUGUCUUGUCACGAAGGAAAAGAACAAGGGAAGUUACAAAAUCAGAGGGCUGAUACAGUGAAGUUUGAUGCAAAACGGUAAAUACACAUUAAUGUGGGUACAAAAAGGGGAAAGAAAAAAUGAGACCAGCUUGAAGAUUCUGCAUCCUUAUUAUUAUUCCUCACACCCUCAUGACGAGGUUGCAACUCUGAAUACGAGAAGUCGUAGGAACAGGCAACACUUGACAACAAAUCCAGAUUCACUCUUUCAUUCAUACAUUUAUUUCAUCAAUUAUCUCCAAAAUCCACACCUACUAGUCAAUAAUACUAUCUUUGAGUACACUUUUUCUUCUUCUCACUAUUCACUCGCUUUCAUUCACUCCAUUGACUCUGCACCACCCCUUUCAUCUUUGGUUGGUAAGAUCACCAAAAUGGAGAAAAUAAAAAUCCUGCCUUUAACUUAUGUUCUUUAGAAAAUCUCUGUUUUGUUUGUUAAUACCCAUGUGGUGUAUCCUUGUUGUUCCCAACAUCACAUGUUCGAAUGUUGAUUUGGCACCCCUGUUAGAUCUCGGGGUGGUUUUUAUGUUGUGGCACAGAAGUUUCUGAAAUUUUGAUGACCAUGUGAUGAAUUUCGCUCCUUUUUAUUCAGUGGUGACUUCCUUCACAUUCAAAAUUGGAUCUUACACAGAACCAAGAGGGUGGUUGCCGUAAAAGAUUUUGUUUUUAUUUUAUUUUUUUGGUUUGAUUUGUAAUUGUGAGCAAGAUGCAAUCUAGGGGUGUGGCACUUGAAGAGGGAAAGGAAAGAAGCAGCCAAUCGAAGCCUUUGAGACCACUGCGGCUACUUGUGUUGUUUUUUGCUCUCUGUGUUGUGUUUUCGGUCAUUAGCAUAUACACGGUUAAGCAUUUUGGAAUUGAGAGUAUGGUGACUACAAUGAGUUCUAAUUUUCAGCCAUGUUAUUAUGAGGAGCCUGGUGGUUUGGAUAAGUGGAUUAGGCCACCUUUGAGCCUGAUCCACAAUAUGAGUGACAAAGAACUGCUGUGGAGGGCUUCUUUUGUUCCAAGGAUCAAGGAUUAUCCAUAUCCUAGAAUUCCCAAGAUUGCAUUCAUGUUCCUGACCAAGGGACCAUUGCCUCUGGCACCCCUUUGGGAGAGGUUUUUCAAGGGUCAUGAGAAGUUGUUUUCCAUAUAUAUUCAUUCACUGCCCUCAUAUCAACCUCAGUUUCCUCCUUCUUCUGUCUUUUACGGCAGGCAAAUCCCUAGCCAGGUAAGGCCAUAUCCAUCUUAUGCUGCUAUUUGUUGAUGAAACUGCACUUGCUCUCUUUACCCCUGUAACACCCCUGAUCUGAAGUUGCCAAUGCUUAAUUGCUGCAAGUUUAGUAGUUUAAACUGUAUAUGUUCAUCUCUGUUCACAAAUGUUAUGUCUUCUUUUAAGUCCUGUUUGUGCUUGUUUUAAGUUUUUUUUUUUUUUUUUUUUUUUUUUUUAUGAGAAUUUAGCUACUGCUGAUGGUGGCAUCAAUGCAUUUGAUCAUAGUUGCAUCUUACUUUCUGAAUUCUGCCUUGUGUGGUGAUGGAUGUUGAUUUUUUAUCAGUGUUAAGUGCUUAGUGUGUCAAGUUGCUAGACUUUUAGGUAAGGAAUUCAGCAAGUCAUAUCAGUGGAUGCAAAACAUUCAGGUUGACCAUGUUUUGAACUUAGAUUCAUAAUGGGCUUGAGUCAAGGUUGUAAUCUUUCAAUAGCAGUGUGAGUAAAAGAAUCACACAUUUUACUUAGAAGAUAAAGAUAGUUUUACAAGGUGAUGUUCUUUUUUUUGAUCGGCAAAAAAUGUAUAAAUAAUAGAACAGUUGGGGUGCUCUAACCCUUUUACAUAAAAAAUUACAUAAUUACAAGGUGAUGAACCAUGGAAUUAGUAAGAACAUAUAAAACAAUAAGUAUAAUACUACCUAAUUAUCUAUAGCUCGUUACCUGUUUAGAAUUGUCCGUUCACGAAAUAUCAUUGUAUCUACAAAUCUUAUGUAGCGUUGCAUGUGAAAGACAUAGGUUUGAGAGAAAGAUAAGAAGAUUAUCCUGGGAAAAAGCUUGAGCCUUGCUUCCUAGGAGAGUUAUGGCAAUACUUAGGUAAGUCUGUAGCCUGGGUUAAGAUACUGUUCUAUUGGAUUAAUUUGCACAUACUUUGGAUUUUAAAGGAAGAAAGAAAAGUUAGUUAAUAGAUUAUCAUCGUGGACCAUUUUAGUGAUUGCUAAGCUCAAUGGCCUUCUUUUUUAAAAUCUUAAGCUAUCAGGUUAAAACCACAAGAUCGGUUCUAGAACCAUUAUUGUCCUUAAUGAGUAAACAAUACACAUAAGCACUCUAUUUUGUGCUAAAAUUCAAAUUAAUUAUGCAUUAUAAGGGUGGAAAGGAUCUAAUUCCAAAUCACUUGGUUAGUGAGGCUUGAGUAUUACAAAGGACUAAUGCUCCUAAGUCUACAUUGUUAGAAGAAGGCACAAUAUUAGUUUUAUGUCUAUUCAUGUUCAAGGACUGCGGUUUUCAAACGUAUGAAAUGGGUAGAGGGAGACCAAGAAUGACUCUACGGGAAGUUCUCAAGAGAGAUCUUAUGAUGAAUAUCUCUAAGGGUUUGGUCUUUAAAUGAGACCAGUAGUAUUGCAUGAUCCAUGUAAUCAACUUCAUCUAGUGGCAUAAUACUGUUGUUGCUUUUCAUAGCUAUAUGGAUUUGCAGCCUUGCAUAUAUGAUGUUCUUGGUUAAAUUAACUCCCUCAAUGUUAGCUUCCUAAUUGUCAGGCUAACUAUCCGUAAAAAACCGAUUUCUUAAAAGCCUUCAAAAACAUCAACCAUGAAUUGAUUUAACUGGCUGGUAAACUGUAAACCGUUAAGAUGAUCCUUUUACUUUGAGAAUUAGAUAAGAUACAAGUCGUCAACGCCUAGGAUAACAUAGCCAGUAAUUUUUUCUGUGUUUUUUAAUGCUUUGAGUGUCUUUGUUAUCUCUGUAAUGGAUUUGUCAAUUUGCACUGGAUGGCUUAGUUUCACAUAAGUAUGAAGCAAUGUUUCCAUGUGUCCUGUGCAUAUCCGUAGUAUUAUGAGCUUCAAUUUACAUCAUGAAUGUAUUAUGAGCUUUUUCAUUUACACCAUGAAUUUGCUGCAUUUUAGAAUUCAUAACUUAAGAUUAGUCUUGUGCCACCUAUUUUGACCUAAGCUAUCUUACAUUCUUUUUCUCAGCAGUGAGUUUUCCAUCCAAGCAUUUAAAAACAUGGAAGCUAUACUUGUUUCUAACCAAUUUACUCUUGAAGCCUCUGAUGAUGAUCUUUUAGUAUUUCUUGUGUAGGUUUCUGAGUGGGGAAGGAUGAGCAUGUGUGAUGCUGAAAGAAGACUCCUUGCUAAUGCAUUGCUUGACAUCUCCAACGAGUGGUUCAUACUUCUCUCUGAGUCAUGCAUUCCCCUUUACAAAUUCAGUUUUGUCUACCAUUACAUAAUGAAAUCCAAACACAGCUUCAUGGGUGCAUUUGAUGAUCGGGGUCCAUUUGGAAGAGGGCGCUACAACGAGAACAUGGCCCCUCUGGUGAACAUCACCAAGUGGCGCAAGGGCUCGCAAUGGUUUGAAGUAAACCGAAAGGUCGCCAUCACCAUAGUUGAAGACACCAAGUUCCAUCCGAUAUUCGAGCGAUAUUGCCGGCCGGCUUGCUAUGUCGACGAGCAUUACUUCCCGACGAUGCUCACCAUUCAAGCAGCAAAUGUUUUGGCCAACAGAAGCAUAACUUGGGUGGACUGGUCUAGGGGUGGAGCUCACCCAGCAACAUUUGGAAGAAAUGACAUCACUGAGGAGUUUUUCAACAGAGUACGAGGAGGUCAUACAUGUUUGUACAACAAUAGAAACUCUUCUGUUUGUGUGCUUUUCGCCAGAAAAUUUGCUCCCAGUGCUUUGGAACCUUUGUUACAGAUGGUUGAUUCAAAGGUAUUGGAGUAUUGACAUAUACUGUGUUGUUACUUUCCGUUGAAACUUGAGGGAAAAUAGAGAUGUAGAAUAAAGUGCUUAGAUAUACUAGCGAGAUUUAUCAUAUGGCUUGUGACAUCUGUCAACAUCCAAUUUCUUCGAGAUUUAUCAUAUGACUUAUGACAAUUAUCAACAUUCAAUUUCGUCAAGAUAAUUGCAUUGUUAGAGAGUGCUAGGUGAUAGAGUGACCCCAUUUCAUACACAAGUUGAGUCAUUUUUGAAUGUACAAAAGAGACAUGUUUGAUCAUACUUUUGUUUAAUAUUAACUUCAUGGAUCUUUGUUCUUCUCUUUUUUAUAUUUUAAGGUUUUUACAGAUUGGAGAUUAUGACACGAUCGGUCAACCCUCUUCUCCUUAAUUUGACAAAAAUGAGAGAGAUAUGAAAAAUAAUGGAAGCACAAAAAAAGUAUUCUCAUGAAACAGUAAAGACUGAAACUUUUGAACUCAGUGUAAGGAAAUUGAUUAAAACUAUUGUUUUAUGAAACUUAGAAAAUACACUAAUUUUUAGACUACCUCUUUAAUUUGAAAUCUAAACAUGAUGUUUUUUUUUUCUUUUUUACGUUUCUGGUUUAUUUUUUAAGAGACUAUUAUGAAAUGAGAUAUGUGUAAGGUGAAGUCAUGUUUUAAAAUAUAAUUUCGAUUAUUUUUAAGACUUAGGUGUUUUUUUUUUUUUUUUGAAAAUUAAAAUUAAAGUCCUGCUUUAGAAUAUGUUUUUUUAGAAGUUGUGUUUUAAAAUUUAGCUUCUUUAUUCGAAGUGUAUUUUAAAAUUCAGCUUUUCUGUUUGUUGAAUUUUAAAAUGGUUUAAUAGGUUCGGAGGUCCUUAUAUUUGGAGGUUUGUUUCAAUUGGAUCCUCCAAUUUUUGAAGUGAUCAAUUAGGUCUCUAAUUUUGUCAAUUUGAAUCAAUAAAAGUCUUUCUAUUAAAUGCAGUUAACACCGUGAAGUUUUUGAACAUGUGGCACGCUGACGUUUCCAGGUGACAUCGUUUGAAGUGCAUAGGUGGAUUAUAAAAGGGUGAAAUCCCUAAAUUAAAAGGAUGAAAUCCCUAAAUUAAAAGGGUGUAUUUGAAGGUAAAAUCCCUAAAUUAAAAGGGAUUUCACCCUUUUAUAAUCCACCUAUGCACUUGAAACGGUGNCACCUGGAAGCGUCAGCGUGCCACAUGUUCAAAAACUUCACGUUAACUGCAUUUAACUUUUAUUGAUUCAAAUUGACAAAAUUAAGGACCUAAUUGAUUACUUUCAAAAUUGGAGGACCCAAUUGAAACCCCCAAAUAUAGGGAUCUCCGAACCUAUUAAAUCUUUUAAAAUAGGAUCUAUUGUUGAAUUUUAAAGUCACGUUUUUAAAAAACUACAUCAAAAACAUAAAGUGUUUAUUUGACAGAAAUGAAAGAAACAAAGGGGUGGUAGAGAAGAGAACAAGUAACAUGUCAGAUGAAUGAAAAUAGAGAUUGUUUGAUUUGAAAAACAAUAUCUACAUAUUAUUCAUUAUUUAUAUUGCAUUUUUCUUUUGUAGAUUGUUAUUUUACUUCUUAAAAGUUUAGGCACGCACUAAUAUCAUAAAGAAAAGUGUCAAAUUUGUUUUAUUCAGACUUGUUAUCAUAGGGAAAAACUGAAAAAUAAAUAAAAAUAAAGAUAUUAAUAAUCAAAUUUAAAAUUUAAUAUUUGGCGUGGUGUUGUGGUGUCAUGUCCAGUGAUCCCAAUGAAAAAGUAAACUUCAUCAAUCACACGGAAUUCGAAGCUGUUUUUUUUUUUUUUUCUCUUGAAGAAAUACAAGGUUAACAUGUAACGUUAGAAGAUUCCACAAUUUCUUGCCUGAUUAAGAUGCAACCCAGAGCUCAAAAGCUCAUCUGGAAGAGAACAGUCAAUUUAUACAUCAAGAAAAUGUUUACACAGCAAACCAGUUUUCUACUUUGUCACUUCAAAAGUAGCUCGAAGAUCGGAUAUCAUGACUGGGCAUUCUCCCUUCUCGUCAUAGUCAGCAUAUUCUCCACUUGACAAGUCAACAUUCUCAAAUUUGGUUCCCUCAAGCUUCAAAAUUCAGCUUGCAUUAGUCAGAUAUGACCAACAUGCAGAAAAUUAUGAUAUUACCAAAAUUAUAGGACGUGUUAAAAAUAUGGCUAUAGGGUUAAAUUACAGGUUUCUGCACCAGGAAAAUAUAGCACUGUACAAUUUCGAAUGAAAUUUUAUUCAAGAGGGUAGAAAAGGGCUGUGUCUUGCAAAUUGUGAUGAUCGAAACUAUUUAGAAACUAAUCACUCUCCCAUAUGUAAUUAUAGGUUUAAUUUUUUAAGACUGGAAUAGAAGAUUUUGAGAUUAAUCACAUCAAAUUCAUCCCAGUUUUUAAGUUCUUAGAAAAACAUUACAGACAUCGUUUCCAGUAUUGAUAACAGUGAACAAAAUAAAUUGAAUCAUUAACAGUAAGCAUCAAACCAAAACAAAGGAAGCACAUGUUUCAAUGCAGAAGAGUGGGUAUAAUGAGAUAUUUACAAUGCCCAGCAUAUAUAUCAGCAACACUGAAUAAUCAGAAGAGAUCGGACACAUGAUGCCAUUAAGCUAACGUAUUUGUUUUCAAUAGAGGAAAGUGAGUAGAUGAACUAUAUAUACAAUACAAACUCAUAUGCUUACAUGUCAGAAGCAACAAUGAACAAUCAAAAGAGACCAAAUGAUGUGACAACAAAAAAAAUGGAAACAUAGAAUGAAAUUAAAAAGGAUACUCACCGAUUCAACUUUCCAUCCAUCACCGAAUACAAAAUCUACUGGUUCAUAGCCCCUGCAGUCAAAUAACAUCAAUGGGGCGUACUUCCCUGAUUCACUGAUUUCCUGGGUGAGUGGUUUACCUUUGCCUUCGAUCAUGGUUACAGUGCCAUCCCUGCCACAAAAUUUGCACUACAUACCAAAUAAAGGAUACUAAGAAACCACCAGCUGCAGGAGCAAAGAGUUUAAAGAAGCACAAAUGAAAGGAAACACUGUAUUGAGUGCUUAUCAUUUUAAAGCUAUGCAGCAGAAUCACAUAAAAUUUUUAGAACCUUUCCUAAUACGUCAGAGACAGAAAAAUAACCACAUCAGUAAAAGCCCAAUCAUGCUAAACGAAUAGAAUUCUGCUCAGUUGGUGUUUCUUUAAUGCACUUGGGUCAUAUUUGGAUAAAAUUAUCCAUAAGUAUUUAUAAGAGAAAACAUAAUCAGGUAAAAGAAUUAAGCUUCUCACAUAAACUUCAACAGAAAGCUCUUUUCAUUUAACUUUUCAAAAGCCUAAGGCACAUAAGUUCGUUCGUUUUAGAUUAUAGAGAAGUUCAAGUCAUUUUACAUUUUACCUCUUUUUUCAACUACAAAUAUUUAUAGAGAAGUUUAUCCAAAUAUAGUUUUAUUUCACCUAAUAGAAAAAAAAAAGUCGAUGAACCCUAACAGUGAAGAUGCAAAUUCUAGUAUAGUGGAGAGUUUCACUUGUCUUUUCUACCGUUCAUAAAUACAUCAUAAAAGGGACACACUUAAAAAUUAUAUAUCUCUAAAAGUAAACACGUAGCAUUAUGAAUUGAGAAAAACUGUUUUUUGAUAGCCAAUGAGAAAAAGAUUUUAUGCACUAACAGUAUAAGAUCACUUCAAUGGUAUGUUUACAUUGUGCACUAUCUUUCAAACAUUAACGAAACUAAGUUUGUUACUUUUCCCCAUAGUCAUCUUAAAACUCAAACCAGCAACAGUUUAUGAUUGGAUAACGAUGUAAAACUAUUUUAAAGGUGUGCAUGAUUACUAAAUUCUUGUCAACAUAUACAAAGAUGAAAAUCACAAGAGGUUCCUAAGGCCAUUAAUUCCGAUGAGGAAUGCUGAGAUAAAUUUUAUCAGAAAUCAUCAGAAGAGACUAAUUCAAAAAGUAGCCAAAUUUUGUGAUUACCAAUAAACUAUGUGAGAGUAAUAAGAACUUGAACUGAUAAAUGUGUAAGAGACUCAUGCGAGAAUCAAUCACAAUCUUUCAGGGACUAUUAAAUAAACGGAUUUAUUGAAUUGGGAAAUGAAAAAACUAUUGAUGAAACGCGAGCAAAGGGUGAAUCAAUUAGGUUACCUUUUGAAUGAGAUGAGUGGUGCCCUUUCCAACCGGAAGAGGAACGGUGUCGUUUAAGAGGACGCAUGUUUCUUUCUGGCUGAUUUCUCCGCAUCUCCCACAUUUCAACUAUUGAUUGCAACAACAGAACGAAAAUGAAGAUCUGAAAGAAACUAAAAAAAGUUGAAUUUGAUAAAUUGGAAGAGAUGAAGGAGAUAGAAAGAAACCUUGAAAAAGUAGGAGAAAUUGGGAUCAUCGCAGCCACCUUGGGGUUGAAGAUUGGUGAGAUUCUCAAGCUCCGCAGUGAUCAUCAACGUGAAGUUCACCAUUUCUCUCUCUGACACAGGAACACUUCUGCUUCGGGUAUUUUGAUGUUUUGGAUGAUUCUAGACAGUAUAAUACGAGAGUAAUAGAUUCAUGUAACUAAAUUAUUACUACAUAUUUAUUAAUAUAUAAUUGUAGUAUAGUUAAAUGGUAAUAAAAAUGUUUUUAAUAUGUAAACUAUAUUUUCAAUUUAAAAUGAAAAAAAUAUCUAUUGUAAUUUUUGUUUUAGGAGUGUCUCGAUUAUCUAUUAUAUUAUGGUUGUAUAUAUAUUUUAUUCUUUUAGGUCUUAUUUAUUUCCAUGGAUUUGAUAGAGAUUAAUUGAGUGGAUUUAAGAAAAUUUGAAGGUAAUUUUUUAUUAUUGUUUAUUUGCAUGAAUUUAGAGGCAAAUGAGAGUGAAUUUGGAAAUAAAGUUUGCGAGAAUUAGUAUAUAAUUUAAUUUAUGUGAUAGAUUAAAAAAUUUACUUCCAAAUCCACUUUCACUUAUCUUCAAAUCUAUUCAAAUAAACUAACAACAAAAAAUUCAUCUUCAAAUCUUCUCAAAUCUUUUCAAUUACUCUCCUCCAAAUUCAAGUGAACAAAACCUUAAUUAAAUUAUAUUAAGAUUUUCUUCAUUCAUGAUUAUUAAUGAAAUUAAUCAACAUGACAAACUAGAUAAAAUAUUAUAAAGAGUAAAUAAACACUGAGUAUCAAUUGCAAAAAGAGAAUAAUGAGAAUAAUUAUUCUGAAUUAUUCUCUCUUUUACUAAUAACUCCAAUAACUCCCAUAGUUUUAAUUGGAAACACAAAAAAUAUAAUUUGUAAAAUAUAUAUUUUUGAAAUAUAAAAAGAUUAGUAUGAAAUAGUUGAAAAAGAGAAAUAUUAACUGAGAUAAAGUGUAAAAUAUAUAUUUAAAAGAGAGGAUGAAGAGGAUAUUAAAAAUAAUGUAAAUGAUGAAUUUGAUUUAUUGUUAAAUUUGUUCUUAAAAGUACAUUUUAACAAUAAAGAUUGAGUCAUAUUUCAGAAAAAAUGUUUGAAAAAUUAAAUUCAUCUUGAAAAUUAAAAAAAAAAGUCAAAAUAUCAAGAAAAAUUAUAUAACGAAAAUUUGUAUCUAUAUAACAGUUUCUCAUAUUUCAUGUGAAGAAGGUACUUGUACCUAGGACAAAAGAAAAUUCAAUUUGUAAUAUUUUCUCUUAAUUUUAAUUUUGGUUUCUAUAGCUUUAGAAUUUUGCAAUUCUCGUCCCUUUAUUAUACAUUUAUGGAUUUAAGUCCAAUAUAAUAUUAAAACUAUUUACUUAUAUCUUAUUUGCUAAUUAUAUGUUUAAAAGUAUUUCUUAUAUACAUGCUUAAGUAAUAUUAUUUUCCAAAAUCACUUCACCUUAAACCAAUUAUUAACCAAAAUCAAAUUUACAGCUCAUUUAAACACACAAACAAAUGGUUGAAUUGAAAUUGGAGUCAUUUCAAAUCUCUCACCCUUAUACUAAAAUAAUUCAUUUAAUAUUUUAACAUUUAUAAUUGAUGAAAUCAAAAUAAAAUAAAAAAAGUUAGUCAACCUCCUAGUAUAAAUUAAUAAUGUGUAACAUAAUAAUAUUUUUAUUUUGAUAUAAUUUAUAAGAAAUAUAUAUUAUAUAUAUUUUUUUGGGUUUCUUGCUUUAAAAGUUUUAAUUUUUACAUAUUAUUAUUUUGAUAUAAUCUAUAGGAAAUAUAAUAUAUAUACAUACAUAUAUAUAUAUAUAUAUAUAUAUAUAUAUAUAUAUAUAUAUAUAUAUUUGCUUUAAAGGUUUACUUAUUAAAAUGUGUAUGUUGAUUAACUUUAUACAUUUUGCAUUAAUGACAAGUAAACUAUGUUAAUUGUGUUCAUGAUAGCAAGUCUAUAAAGAAAAGAAAAAAAAAAAAACCCAAACUCACUAGUGGGCCAGACCAAACUUGAUUACACUUGAUCCACGAGCACCUCAAGUAAUUGUGGGUUUUCGUUUUCUGCACCCGAAGAUUACUAAAUGAACCUAUGCAUUAUCUAUUUUUUACAUAGGUAUGAAUUCAUGGUGUAAACAUAAGUUGAAUGACUCAGACGGUAACUCAUGCAGACACUACUACCUAACUUAUAGUUAAACCAUUAAUGUAUAUAAUUCAUGACCUCAAUUCACGAAUAAAUUGCAUAUCUUCAAUUUCAGUGUCGUGACUCACUUUGCAACAUACAAAAAUUAUCAUUGCUAAUUGAAAUUUGAAUGGGAAAAGUGUUGCACUUUUCUGCCAUGAGAUCCACAAUGUUCAUUCUCUUAUGGCUGCUAACCACAGUCCAUGGUGGCUCUCUAUCAAGACUCAAGAUUUUGGAAGUUGAGAGAAAAUUAAAGUAUCUCAGAAGACAUUCCUUAAAAACUAUCAAGGUAAUUAAAUCUAUCUUAAUCAUCCUUCUAUUGGGUUUUUCUUAAUGUUGUUAAACACCUAAUUAGUUCUGUAAUUAAUCAGCCAUUUGAUCAAAUCAGAUAUAUACAAAGUUAAAGUUUACUUAUGUUUAUAAUUUUGUAGACUAGAAAGAUGAUUUUGAUCCUUUUUAAAGACUAAACACAUAAUUAAGUCUUGAUUUAUCAUAACAUCAUUUUUUUUCAUGUUUGUAGAGUGAAGAUGGAGAUGUAAUUGAUUGCAUUGCCAUUAAUAAACAACCAGCAUUUGAUCAUCCAGCAUUGAAGAAUCACAAAAUUCAGGUAAGUUACAUUUUAUUUAUGACUAUUGUCAUUCAAUAAUCUCAUAUUAUUUAAAAAAAAUUAAUUUAAAUAUAUUUUUUUCCUUCAUCCCUCUUAAUACGUAUAUAUCAGAUGGCUCCUACUCACCUAACAGCUGGAUCAAGAACUUCAAGAAAUGGAAAAAAUGCAAAUGAAUCUUUGAGUGUGACUUCACAAGUGUGGCAGAAAAGUGGAAAAUGUGGAAAGGGAACAAUACCAGUUAGAAGAAUAAGAAAAAGAGAGCUAUUGAAGGCUCAUUCAAUUGAAGAAUAUGGAAGGAAGAAGCCAAGCUUCUCUCACCAUCAACAUGCUGAACUGAAUAAGAAUCUUGAUUCCUUUGUUCAACUUAAAAACCACUCUGUAAGUUUUGUUAUACUAAUUGCACUAUAUAUUCAAUACCACAAUCACAAGUUUUAUGUCAUUUCUAAAAUAGUAGUUGGAAGUCCAUAUGGACUAGAAAUAAAACCAUUUAAGUAUAUAUAAGUAGAUGCAAACCUCAUCCUAUAAACUGUUUUUGUGGGGUUGAGUUAGGCUUAAAACUCACUUCUAACAACAAUAAUAUCAUAUUUAAACAAUCUUUUUUUGUUUUUCACUAUCUUCUUUACUCACAUUUUAUGUGAAACAGAAGGCAAUAUUGUUUACAGUUGGUUACCGUUAUUUGGGAGGAAAAGCAGAUCUGAGAGUGUGCAACCCUUUUGUUGAAAAGGAUGAUGAAUACAGCAUUACUCAAGUCGCUCUCUUAACAGGCCCAUACAAUGACUUUGAGUCUGUUCAAUCUGGUUGGGCAGUAAGCAUUUCUCUCUUUAUACAUCUUUCUUACUUUAAAAACUAAAGAAAAAUAAUUUUUUUAACAACCUUUUUACAAUCAUUUACGUGUUAGUUUUUUUACAAUCAUUUACAUAUUAGUCUCUUUCAAAUAUACGAAAAAAUAAAAAUAGUGACACAUAAUCUGUUGUAACAUGUUUUUAAAACUUGCAACAGGUGAAUCCUAGUGUAUAUGGAGAUAGACAAACUCGAUUAUUUGUAUACUGGACGGUCAGUUUUGCAAUUCCAUCAACCCUAAAAUUGAACUUAACUAUCUGUUACAUUAUAUUUCAAUUCUUUUAAUCUCUAUAAAAUGAGGAAGAUUUAAUUUUAAACAGCAUGUUUUGCAGGCUGAUGGUUCAAAGAAAAGUGGUUGUUUUGAUCUAACCUGUCCUGGGUUUAUUCAGACAAGCAAUGAGAUUGCCUUGGGUGCUGCUAUACAUCCAAUCUCAAUUCCUGCUGACCUUCCAUACGUAAUAACAAUUUACAUCUUUAAGGUUAGUCAUAUGUUUCGUUAUAAGGGAAAUCAUAUAUAUAAUAUUUUCCAAACACUCUAGAAAACUAAAAAAAAAGUAAAUUUUUCUUAUUAUUUUUCUUAGAUAAAUUUAGGAUUUGUCAGUGAUUUGGUUUUUAUAUUUAAAUUUUUUAUUAAUUUUGUUUAUAUUUAUUGUUGAUUCAAUUAAUUUCUUUAUUUGUGUAAAAAGAUUUGAUGUGUCUCUUAGGUUAUAUUGAUAUUAACACUGUUUUGAAAUAUAUAGUAUUAAAACUUAAGUUUAUUAUGUGUCAAAUUUAGGUUAUUUUUUAUCUUGAAAUUCUCUUAUUUUAAUAUGUGACAUCUUUCAAGAAAAAAAUAUUCAAAUUUUGAUAUUUGACAAACUCAGAUUUUAACAAAAAUAAUCACAUCGAGUAUUUUUUAUAAAUAUAAGAACUUUGAGUUUUUUUUUUUAUUUUAUUUUAAACAUAGGACUUAGUUGAGUAAAAAAAUAUAAAAAUUAAAAUAAAUCAAAAAUAUAAAUAUAGAAAUCAAAUUAUUAAUUAAGUCAUAAAAUACACUAUUUUCAAAAAAAGGUAAAAAAAAAGUAAGAGAAAUGAGAAAACAAAAAAUUAUUACUUUUCUUAAUUAAGUUUAAGUUUGUUAAAGUGGAGAUUCAUAAGAGAGAAACUACACAAUAUAAAUUUAAUUUAUUGACACACUUCUAACUUAAAAUAUUAAUUAAAUAAAUUUUAGAUUUUUUUUUUCUAAUAUAUUGUUGAACUUUAUCAUUUUUAUUCAGCAUGAAACUUAAACUUAUAUUAAAUAUUUUUUCUUUUAAAUGUGAAUUCUUUCAUAUUAAUACAUUUCAUUGAAUUAUUCACACUUGCAUUUCCAAUAAAGUGAGCAUCAUAAAACACUUCAAAUUAUUCAUAAAUUUAAGGAAUUUGAAUUUAAUAAGUCAUGAAGUUGAAAUCAACCUAUAUGAAGAGACAUUAAGAUACCAUCAAAUCCAAAACAUUAUGAAUUUAGGUUUGUAUAUAUUUUUUUCUUUAUAUAUUAUUCAUUUCACUUGUCUCCACCUAACAUGAACUCUCAAGAAUUGUUAAAGUAUAAAAGAUAAACUUUUCCUAAUUUAUUUUUCUUUAUGGUUCUGAUUUGCAUUAGGAUCCCUAUACCAACAAUUGGUGGGUGCAAUAUGGUGAGAAGACCUACAUAGGUUAUUGGCCACCGGAGUUGUUUAAAACAAUACUUUACAAUGCACAAUCUGUGGAGUGGGGUGGUGAAGUUUACAGUACAAGCAUUGGACAAACUCCUCACACAGCAACACAAAUGGGCAACGGCCAAUUUGCUUCAGUUUUGGAGUUUUCAUCUGCAAUAACAAGAAUGAGAAUUCAUGACAACUCUGAAUUCUUGAAAAUCCCAGAAUUGGUUUAUGAUUAUUCUGAUGAAUAUAAUUGCUAUGAUGUUUGGUACAUGUCAGAUUACAUUGAUGAUCCUCAAUUCUAUUAUGGGGGUCCUGGUAGAAAUCCAAAGUGCCCUUAACUUAUUCAUAAUUAAUGCUUCAACCAAUUACAUGUUAUAGGAGAUAAUGUAUUCAAUAUUUUGGUAACAUUUUUCUGUUAAGUUUUUGCAGUAACAAUGCUAUUUAACUGUGUCAAACACCAGUAUCCACAUUUCAAUCUAAUGCGAACCUUUUUCAGCUAGUAAAAUGAAAAUGUAGUGCACAGGGAGAGAACAUCCACUAAUAUUGCAUUUGAUUAUUUUUAACAUUCCAUACAGUUACAACAAUAUCUACAAACGAAUAUGCUGUAACAAGGACAAAAACAACAGAAAAAGUGAAUAAAGUAGCAAGAUAAUACAUAUAAAACAACAACAAAGUACAGGACUUGACGCACUGUACAAACUCAUCUCGAAGCCUGUCUUGUGCCACAUUUAGACAACACAUGUCCCAUUUUCACUUCCAACAGAGUUUAGUAUUUAUAGCUUUUGAUUUUCACAUUUCUGAAGCAGAACAGAACCAUAAAACAUGACUACACUAAAUCAUGCUGCUUUCUCUCUUCUUGAAUGGAUUGAAAUAUUCUAGCAGCUGAUUCUGUCGCGGAUUUCCCGUUGUGUGGAACGACUUUGAUGACUUGUGUUUGCUGUUUGGUUUCAACAGAGUGAAGAGAAAGAGAAUGUGCAUCACUUCCUUCAGCAAUGUUCCCUGUUCUGAUUUCCUGUGGUGUUUCACUAGGAGUGCUUGCUGUGCUCCCUUGUAAUCGUCUCUCCUUGGACACGCGAAGUUUCUUGACAUGUGACACGGCUCCAUUCCUCUGAACUGGCAAGUUGGAUGAGCUUUGGUUAUGUUGAGUGUUAAAACUGGCUCCCUCAACUGAUGAAUGACCAUUUUGAACAUGAGAACCUUGUCCGGCAUACUGGUUCACAUGUUCCACAGCUGACCCUGUUGCUGCUUGAUUCACUACUUGCAUGCCGUAGGGGGAGAAGUAGGUGUGGUUGGGCAGAGAAACAAACGGUGACACCCCGACUACUUGAUGAGAAGCUGGAAAUUGAAAGGCAGGAUUCAUGAAAGUAGCCCCGAGAGGUGCUUGUCCGAAUGGCCCGCCACAUCCUGCAGGAUUCGUUCUGGUAAAUGUCGGCCCGGGAUAUGGCUUGUAGACAAGCCCUUCGGAAGGAGACAUGAUAGGAAUUAACCACUGAUGUUGAGGUGAUUGAUUGAAACUCCAGGGACUUGUUCUAUUAUCGGAAGCCACAUCUGCCUGGUGUGGAAUUCCUGAAAAAGGGGUGUGAUUUGUAAGGUGGCUACCAUUUUUUGGGGACGAAAAUGAGGUUUUCUUCUCAACUGCAUUCUCAGCAGAACAUUCUGUUUUAAGGUUCUGCUUUUCAGAAUUGUUUUUCUGCUUAGGAGUUUGUUGCUGGGGGUUUACGACAACUUGCAAUGAAAUGGUUUUGGGAGUAGACCCCUCCAGAGGAAAUUUCCCCAAGAAAGCACCAUCUUCAAGCAAAACAUCUGGGGAUGAAGCAAUCAGCUGUUGAACCUGUUUAAAUAAAAAGAAUUAAUGUGCGAAUGUGUAUGCACAGACUUGAAGGGUGAAUCUCCAUGUCUGUGUGGAAGUACAUGCAAUAAAAGUUAACACGCUUCCCAUUUCGGGCUAGCAGAAGAGAUCAAUUUUACCUUGAUCAGUCUGUGCAAUUCAAACACUUGGACAGCAAACACUCUCUGUUGACUGUAGAGAGGAAUGGGAGUUCAAUCAAGAAAAUUACACAAUACUCAUCCAAAAGGUAAAAACUCCUCUAAAGUACAAGUGUUUUACACACUUUCUUACUUUGAAGGAGCCACAUAAGAAUAUACCUCACAGCAAUUGCUUAAUACUCAUCCAAAUGGAUAAAGCUCCUCUGAAGUAAAAGUACUUUUACAUAGUUUCGUACUUUGAAGGAGCCAAGUAAAAUAUCAUACAGAUGGCAAAUACGAAUAUAGCUCAUGGAAGACAAACACAUUUCAUAAUUCAUAUGAAAUAGUUGUGUAAUUUACUUGUUUCUGGUUAAAGACUGCACUCAACCAUGAAGUUUAAAGCGUGCAAUGUAACAUAGCCAUCUUCUUUUUUAGACAUAUGGAUAACAAAUCAUAUAAAAGAUAUCUCAUGCAUAUGAACUAUUAUAUGGCUACUUAAGCUAAAUGUCCCAACUUGAACACAGAAAUUAAGACACUGACAAAUGGGAGAAGAAAAAAAGAGAGCAACAUUCCCCUUGUUAUAAGUAUAACAUCUAUUAACAACUCAUCCCAGCAUCAUAUACUCUCCAAUUGUCCCUAUACUCCGUUGGAUCAUCCUGCAUUUCUCAGUCCCCUUCUUAGCCCAAGUCCUUCAGUGCAGCAAGGGCAAGUGGUACAGUAAGGAAACUCGCCCCAGUGGUCACAUGGAGAACCAAGUAAGAGGAAACCAAGAAAUGAAUAUUUCCAAAGAGUGAAAUGAUCCGUUAUCAGCCUGUCAUAAGGUUAACCCUUCGACACAGUACAAUAUUUUAAGACUGCUCACCAUCCUGUUUUAAGACGAUCCAGUAUCCACCAUUAAAAAUUUAUUAAGAACUUUGAACAUACAAAAAACCAAUUUAGAAGGGACCCCAAGAUGAUCAGAUUUUCUUUCUUCAGAGCCACAUUCGCUACUCCUCGAAUGAAAUGUAAAUAUACAGGUUAUUUACCUAGUGUAGGAUGUAAAGCAUAAACCAAACAAAUGCAGUUCUACAGUUUUAGAUACAAGAGAAAGGAAAAAUACCUUCAUUGAGUGGCAAUAGGGAAAAGGUUUAACAUAGCUUAGCAACAAGUUGACUUUUUUCUAUGAUAACUUCAUAAUAUACAUAAAUCACAAAUACCAUCCAGAUGAAGCAUGUAGAAAAACAGUAUCAUAAAUUAGUGAGAAGUUUCACGAGGAAAUAGUUGAAAUUUGAAAUCACCACACCACAGAAAAACCUGCUGCUAACCAUCAACAUGACUUACUUGGCAAUUUUUCGCCUUGCUUUCCAGAAAUGUUUUUGACCUAAUAUCCCUACAACAUCAUCAGGAGAAACUAUCAGGCUUGAUAAAUUUGUUACCGUGGAGAUCUUCGAGACAUCACCACUUCCAUCAAAAUUUCCCUUCUGUAAUGGACCUUCAGUACCAACAUCAUGAUAUUCAACAUCAACACCAUCGGUAACCUCAACUGGACAGGUUUGGUUUACUGCAGAAUGAAAACAGCUUUUUGGUACAAGGGCAUUUCCAUUAUCCAUAUCCCUUGUAGAGUUAAGGAGAUCAACGUCAGCGGAUUGGUGCCCAGCCACACAUUCCUGCUGUAGACAACCACCAUCCUGAUGUAACCUGCUUAUACUUGGGACAGAACAAUCCUGAUCCUCUUGAUUUGGAAUCACCUUGGCUUGCAUCACUAGACUGUCAAUAACUUCUCCACUUGAUUUGUUUUUAACAGACAUUUUUGGUUGCUGUCUACUUGAGCUUACAUGUGGAUGUGUCUCAUUCCCACUCCUCACAUGCUUUCUCAUGUCAACAGGAAGGGAACCAAAUUGUGCUGGAUCUCUUUCACCAUCAUUUUGCACUGAAACUGAGCAAAAAUUACCACCACCCAAAGGAGUGAAUUUUUUCCUAUUGAUCGCUUUAUCAUUAGAGUGACCAAUCCUUGAGCAAAUGUAUGCAUGAACAUCAUCUUCGUCUGCUCUCUUUCUCCUUUCUAGCUGCACCAAUGAAGUAUUUGAUCUCGAUCCAUCAGAUUGGCGAGAAACAUAACUUUCAGCUCGAUGAGCAGGUGUUUGCGAAGGUAAACGAACUGGGUAGCCAUAACUUCUCUCAUGCCCACUUCCCUGAAUAUAUAUUAAUUCUUAUUAGAAAUUAACACAAAUUCAUUUGCAAACCUUCACCAAACAACUCAAUUUAUAGGCGUAUUUUUUCAAAUCUUACACUAAAACAACAAACUCCAAGGCAUAUCAUAAAAAGGUUCAUCGUUAAGAAUCCCCUAAAUAGCUAAAUUCCUUAUUUAAGCCGAACACGAUCUGAUAAGAGGUGAUUCGAUAAACCCAACAUAAUAUCUUAGAAUUUGAGAUUUGACCUAACCCAAUCCUGCAAAACUGAGUUAUGAGACAAAGGCUACCCCUAAUGACAUACUAUCUUAAUUCUUUAUCUCUAAUUAAAGUUAGACUUGCUUUUUCCCCAAAAAUCUCAAGCUUAAGUUAAGCAAGUAAACCACAACAACACAAACAUUUUCCAACUUAGAUUAAGCAAAAAUAAAAAUUGAAUGAAGAACAAAUACACAGAAGCCAAUCCUCACCUGGGUUGAGGAAGUUGGUGGAGCAACUAAGUUAGAAGAUGAAUUUGGUUUGAGUGGCAGAAGGCGUGGAUUGAACCUCUGAGAGGGAACACUGAGUUGUUCAUAGAGGGCCAUCUUGUUCCUUGGUGGUGCUCUUGGCCCUCCUUUCUCUGCAUCAUUUACAUGCAGCCUCGGAAACAUUGGCCCUGCCACCUUCUCAUCGUCGUUCCCUCUCUUCAUCUUAUCGAAAAAUCUCUUCUUUUUCUUAUCCCAAUUUGCACCCACAAAGAGAAAAAAGAGAAGGAAUAUCUGAAUCGAAUCUGAAAGCAAAAUCUAGCAAGAACCCAGAUGGGGCAACGAACUGUGAUCAGAAAGCGAAGUACGGAAGAAAAAACGGAACAGAUGAGUUAGGGAUUCUCCACAGACAUUGCUCCGAGGUAAUAGAAAGAGAGAA
RNAcentral lists this long non-coding RNA (39469 nucleotides) under Vigna radiata. Its description in RNAcentral is "long non-coding RNA (VRAD_LNC005694)". Lineage: Eukaryota; Viridiplantae; Streptophyta; Magnoliopsida; Fabales; Fabaceae. The record is from RNAcentral.